This 3709-nucleotide long non-coding RNA is filed under the name Mus musculus (house mouse). RNAcentral describes it as "long non-coding RNA chr12:108579138-108582847". The record is from RNAcentral. Lineage: Eukaryota; Metazoa; Chordata; Mammalia; Rodentia; Muridae.
AUGUUUCUUUCGUUUCUUUCUUUUUCUUUUCUUUCUUUUUUUUUUUUUUCCUCUGUAUGUUCCAUCUUCCAAGACCUGAGCUCAGCUCCUCCAAGGCCCAUGUGAUCCCAGCUCCUUUAUGAAUAACGGAAAGGCCUUUAGUGCCUCAUGUGCCCAGGUGUUCUGACUCAUGAAGCCCACAUGUCACACCCACUUGCACAAAAGUGCAAUCCCAGUGAAAACACAACCCACUCGAACCUAGUUUUGCAGCCAUUUGAGUUUUCUCAACCGGUAGGAGGGAUGUUUCUUACUGGCUUGCUUCCUUCCCCUGGCUUUCUCAGCUUGCUCUCUUAAAGAACCCAAGACUACCAGCCCAGGGAUGGCACCACCCACAAUGGGCCCUCCCCACUUGAUCACUAAUUGAGAAAAAUGCCUUACAGCUGGAUCUCGUGGAGGCAUUUCCCCAACUGAAGCUCCUUUCUCUGUGAUAACUCCAGCCUGUGACAAGUUGACACACAGAACCAGCCAGUACGAUGCCCAUCAUGAUAAUUACAGUCACUUUGCCUUUGGUGACUCAUUGCUGCCACUGACCCGACUACCAAAUAAACCCAUUGCAUUUCAUUCAUCCAGCAGAGAGCAGUCUCUCUAACAGCAAGGCUGUCACAAGGAAUAGGGAUGACAGCAAAGCUUGUCAGAUGUGCCAGUGCCCCUCUCACCAGUUUGCAUCUUACAGGAGUAAUAAAGGGCGUGUCUUCUGGGCCUUCCCAUUGAGGAGGAUUAGGUUUUACACAGUGUAGCUACUCUAGCAUUGCAACUUCCCUACGCCUUAAAAUCCCUUCAACUCUAAGCCAAGGGAUAUCAGGCAUUUCCAGCUCCCUUUCAAUAGACCAUCUUUGGAUAAAUGCUCAGCAGCCAUUCAAACAAACUUGACAACUUUUUAAAAUAAACUGUGAGAGCUUCCAUAUUAUACCCAGGAUCUCUAUUUAGUGGCUUAUGUCAAUAAACUCAGCCUAAUCCAGUUUCAUGUUCCUUUCACCAUUAUCCUAUACCCUUAAAACCCAUUCCCACAUGUAUUCUCCAGACUUAUGCUAGAACAAAUUAGCAAAGUCAUUAACUCUUUAGUAGUAUAACAUACCUCCUCAUGGGCUACACUUUCUAUCCCUCUUACCAGGAGCCUGCUUAGUUUUCAGUCUGGUUAUAGGUCUAGAAGCAACUGUUUUUGAACCCCAAGGGCAGUGCUUUCUAGCCUGGCAUCUCCUCCAAAGAAAAUCACUGCCGGUUUAACAGACAAUGAAGAAUUGAUUUCCUCAGUCAAAGAUGAAAUAGGUACUGUCUCAGGGGAUAGGGUUGUGAGUACAUCUUCUGUUGAGGAUGGAGAGACUACUUUCUCUGGUGAGAUAAACCCUUGAGAAUCUGAGGGCUCAAAGGUCUCAGCUUCAAUAGGGACUUCUCAAGAUAUCUCCAUCCCCAGUUAUAGGAUCCUAUUCUUUACUAAUUAAUGCUGGUUGAACACUAACACCCUCAUAGGCUGGGACUUGAAUUUUUGCUGUAAUUCAGACAAUCUUAUAAUGAGGGCUUUGGUUUGAUCUUUGCAAUUUAAGCUCUGUGGCUACUGGAGAGAAGAUUCUUUUUCAGGGCAUGCAUGCAUGAAUAUAUAUGUGUAUAUACAUAUGCAUAUAUAUGUAUAUAUAUGUGUGUGUAAUAUUACAUUCUACAUGUAUAUGCAUAUAUAUACACAUAUAUACACACAUACAUAUCUGUGCUAUGUACAUAUGGGAUUCAUUAAUUAGAAUAUAGGUUAUUCUAUAGGCUUAUUAUAUAGGCUUAUAGGUUGUGGUACAUCUAAUCUAGAAGGUAUUCAGUCCAUCAGAAUAGAUGCCUUAGUUGGUCUUCAGUAUGUGCUGGAAUCCAGAAGAAGUAGGCUCCAGGGCUACUGAAGGAAUGGAUUUGCCAGGCAAAAUGAGAGCAAGCUUCCUUCCUCUGAGUCCUUUAAAUAAGCUUCCAGCAGAAGGUGUGGCCUUAAUCUUUUAAUCUUUAUCUUUCCACUUUCAAUGAUUUAAUUUAGGAAAAAGUCCCUGACAGGUGUGUCUAGAUACUUAGGUUUUAGUUCUUUUCAGAUGUGGUCAAGUUGACAGCCAAGAAUGGCCAUCACAAAAACCAAACAAAAUGCAAACUAAACAAUCAAGGAAGCAUAUUUGCUAAACUAUACAAGGGCAACUAGGGAGAUGCUUCAGUGGUUAAGAACAGUAACUCUCUUGCAGAUGACUUGGGUUUAGUUCCCUGCACGCACAUAGCAGCUUACAAGUACUGUCUGUAACCCCACUUCUAAGGGAUCCAAAGUCCUCUUCUAACUUUCCUGGGCAUCAAGCACUCAUGUGGUGCACAUACAUACAUAUAGGCAAAGCACUCAAAAUAAAAUAAAUAAAUCUAAUUCCACAAAACCAUACAAGGAUAGAUUAAUAACCUAACUUCAUAAAGUUCUUCAGCUCUCUAUUCAUACAACAGAAAUACUUGAAAAGGCCUUUCUUCCUCCCAGCCCAUCAGGGCCCUCCCUACCUUAGGUAUUUAAUUAAUCUAGAGUUAUGUAUUUAUUAGUUUCCAGGCACUUAAAUGUGCAGCCAGAAUUGAGGACUACUGAACUGGUCCCGAGAUCAAGACCAUUCCUGAUUUAUCCAGCACUGUAGUGUUAGCCCUUAUCAUUGGAGCAACUCAAACAUGGUAAGUGCUCAUAUGUGUGUUGACUAUUUCCUAAGUCCCUCAAUUUUCAGAUGUACAAGACUUCAGAGGUCAUUUGGGUAGGGGCUCUCAGGCUAACCGGCAAGUAGAACGGUGAAGCCCAGAUUUCUUAUCUUAUAGCUUUAGUUUUGGCCACCUUCCUUUGUACAUUUGCCUUCUUAAUUCUUAUAUUGUUCAAUGUCUGACUUCUACCCCAUUUCCUACUCCACACUGAAAAGGGAGGAAUGUGUCUUAGAUGCUUAGACAGAUAGCAGGCAGGACUGUGUUGCAGUCUCAGCCUGUGUUCUCUGUCGGCCCACCUCUAAGUCAAGUGUAAGUGGGGGAGAGGGAAAGGAGGCGAAGAAAUAUGCAACUGAAAUUCCAUAAAUAAAUAGAUUCCAUAAACUAAAGGCUCUAUUUUUAUUUUUUAAUUGCAUGUAUGUAUAUAAGUAUGUACGUUCUGUUCCCUGUGGAGGCUAUGGGCAUCAGAUCCCUCUGGAGCUGGAGUUAGUUACAGGUGGUUGUGAGCUGCCCAGUGUGGGUACUGGAAACUGAGCUUAGUCCUUGAGUCCUCUGCAAGAAUAGUUAACACUUUAACUGCUGAGUCAUCUCUCUAGCUCCCUCUUCCUCUUCUUCCCUCUUCCCCAUCUUUAAUGGAGCUCUCCAUCCCCAUUUCAGCAGUAAAGCAAUCGGGUUUUAGAAUACUUGACAUAUUUUAUUUUUAUAUUGUUUAUUUUAAUUAGGAUCUCAUGACUUUCUGUUAAGGUGAUUCCAGGUCCAUCUUCCCAUAUCCCAGUUGCUUUAUCCACUCCACUCUUGACUUGUGUAUAAGCUCCCCAGAAAAGCUCCAAAGAUGGUGGAGACCAAAUAGGAAAAGCUAUAAUGAAUUAUAAAGGAUAAUGUAAGGAAAUUGUCCCCUAAUUCAAUGUGUGUGUGUUUGUCCUCUGACUUCCUUUUAAAGAAUUGGAUUAUAAAAGUGAUAUAUUCUGUUUGGACCAGUCUAGUAACAACAAGG